Salmo salar (Atlantic salmon) is the source of this 6299-nucleotide non-coding RNA. NCBI's taxonomy places the organism in Eukaryota, Metazoa, Chordata, Actinopteri, Salmoniformes, Salmonidae. The record is from RefSeq and is a predicted model, not a curated record.
AUGGCACAUAUUGCACUUUUACGUUCUUCUCCAACACUUUGUUUUUGCAUUAUUUAAACCAAAUUGAACAUGUUUCAUUAUUUAUUUGAGGCUAAAUUGAUUUUAUUGAUGUAUUAUAUUAAGUUAAAAUAAGUGUUCAUUCAGUAUUGUUGUAAUUGUCAUUAUUACAAAUAAAUAAAACAAUCGGCCGAUUAAUCGGCAUCGGCUGUUUUGGCCCGACAAUAAUCGGUAUCGGCGUUGAAAAAUCAUAAUCGGUCGACCUCUAAGACAGACCCACACCGACACGCACAAUCACACACCCUCCUCCCCCCUCCUGCUUGCCAACUCAAAGUAGCUCACCCUGAGAACCAGAGUCUAUGGGUGAAGGACUACUAGGUGGGGCGAAUCAUUCCAAAUCUUGCAGGUAGAAAUCUACUUCAUAGAAAGGAUAGCUUUCGCUAUUCCAUUAGAGUUGUGGCUGUUCUUUUAUGUUGUCGUCUUUCAAGCUGCAAUGCUUUGAAUGUUUCAACUGCCUGAAUCUGCCCUGCAGUAAUGUUUCUCAACCCAGUUGUUUUACAUACAGCCCAGCUAGCACAUUUGGUUCCUUUGAAGUUGUAGGAACAUAUGUUUUUGGUUUCACAUUGGUUGUGGGAAGGGAGCCAUACUUUCCUGACCGGUAAAACUGAAAGUUCUUCAAACAUUCUGACAAGAGAAGUUCCAAGAAAAGCAAAAUUGUCACGUCUUACUUCUCUGACCUAUUUGAGAACAUUCCCAAUGUCAAACCAGUUGGAGAACAUUACCAAAAUUGAAAUGAAAUGUAGCUAUAUUUGAACUUAUAUGAAACGUUGAAACACAUAACGUAAUGAAAAAUGUUUUUGUCAAGUUCAUUAAAUGUGCAGAGAAUGUUCCAAAGCCAAGCAACUAUCCUGCACCAUUCCCAGGAAGUUGUGGGAAGGUUGUAUGCUAAAUAACCAUAGGACAACCACAACCAUAGGACAACCAACCAAGUAACAUAUGGUUCUCAGAACAUUAUGUGCUUGCUGGGAGUAUUGUCUGAUUCACACUACAGGGCCGGGCCAAGCUGUAUUGGGCUGGCCUGGUUACGCGUCCACCAUAGUUCCUGGAACCAUGUUGGAAAGGACAAUGUGAAGAUAAAAUAUCAGCCAGUACAGUUCAGGACGUUCCUAUAGUGUGAAUCAGACAUCAGUCAAACGGCUGGUGGACCCAAAGAACUGAGGUUGAGAAACACUGUAGAGUAGGAGUGCUGAUCCAGGGUCAGGUCCUCCCUGUCCAUAAUAAUGAUUUAUUAUGAUGCAAACGGCUAAACUGAUCCUAGGUCAGCACUCUUACUCUGAGACGCUUGAUAAAUAGGGUCCCUGAUCCCUGUCAUUUAUUAUAGGCUCCAGAACACACUGUACACAGUACAGGUUAUUAUAGGCUCCAGAACACACUGUACACAGUACAGGUUAUUAUAGGCUCCAGAACACACUGUACACAGUACAGGUUAUUAUAGGCUCCAGAACACACUGUACACAGUACAGGUUAUUAUAGGCUCCAGAACACACUGUACACAGUACAGGUUAUUAUAGGCUCCAGAACACACUGUACACAGUACAGGUUAUUGUAGGCCUUAGGCAUGUUUUACUUGUACCACCUGUUCUGAACAUAACAAUGCAUUGAUUGGAGGUUUAUAUUUACAAUUGCUGUUGACGUUUUAUGAAUUACCCCUUCUACAGCAUAUGUUGACUGUAUUUACACAAAUGAUAGAGAGAUAUAUAAUACUAUAUAUUUCAGAUUUUUUGAGGGAACUGUGUAAAAAAAAUACAAUGUUUGAUGUUUUUGGUAUUGUGGUGUUACUGGAUAGAGCUACUGAUGCGUGGGUAAAGAAUGGCCACGACAAGAAGGACUCCCGUUUGACGGACGUUUUACUGAGGGAUGUUCUCUGAUGAUGGGAAUUCACGUUCAGUAGAUGCUCUUCUACAACUGGUGGCGACACCGGCUCUGUCCAGGCGCUCAGCCACAGAACGAUGUCCACGUCCGUGCGAUUAGCAUGCGAGCAAACUUCCCAACUAACUGUGGGAAAACCACACAACUGGCUAACCUCAACAUGGCACGCCCACUAACCAAUGAGCGACUAUCAGAAGGUGGACAGUAGAACCCACAGGGGAGAACAAGGAGCUAUGCCAUCUGCACUACACUAUGGAUAGAAGUGUAUUUUGAUGAACUGAAAUGCUAAACUCAAUGUUGGACAAAAAAAAACGAAACUUAUUUUUGUCCUCUGCUAUUUCCAGGGGCCUCUGGGUCUGAAUUCAUAAAGCAGAGUGGAAGUGCUGAUCUAGGACCAGUUUUGCCAUUUAGAUCAUAAUGAAUAAGACUACAUGGACAGGAGGGGACCUGAUCCUAGACCAGCCCACCAACUCUGAGGUUCUUUGUGGAUAUGAGCUGUGGUCUCUGUAUUUUGUUCUGUUUUGCUUCCUGUUGCCUGAUUUGACAGGAAGUGGUGACCCUGUCUCUUGGUUACCAGGUAAUCUAACCUCACAGUAUUGGCUUGCUGCUGAAGUAGCCUUGGCUUCUGGUUAUUGGUGGAAUUCUGUAUUGCUGGAGUCUGUUUUGUGCCUGUGCUUGCAGCAUACCCCUUAUAAAAAGGGCAGUUUGAUUGUCCUGAUGGUGAUUGCAUGGGGCUUGUCCCGUCAUGGUUAACUGUUCUCAGAUAUCGUAUUUAUUUGUUUGUUUAUUUGGGUCCCCGUUAUCUUUUGCAGAAGCAGCAGCUACUCUUCCUGGGGUCCACACAAAAUACAAAACAUGACAAGUAACAAAACACUGGUACACUGACAGACAAGGACAGUCACACACAUUUAAAAUACAAUAAUAUACAAACAAUUCAACAACAAACUGUGUGUGUGUGUGUGUGUGUGUGUGUGUGUGUGUGUGUUACCUGAGAAGGUCAUCCGCUUUUAAUUACUUUUGUCUUCCCAUCACCCCCCUGCUGCUGGACAGGAGUGGUGGCUGCUGGGUAAAACCCUUGGACAUAUACCAUAGCAAAGAGCAUGCAGUCAUUUCUGUUUUAAUAACAUCUCUCCAGCAUGUCCAUUCAUUGUGUUUUAUUACUGCUGGUAUUAUAAUGUAUUAUUCCAUAUGUGAAAUCAAAGUGGCCAACAAGAGAUAUUGAGGUCUCUUAACUUCCCUGAGCGGGAUCAAUCAAUUUCUCUGAUCCAAUGGGAGCUCUAUAUUUCAGAGCUUCUAUUGGGUUUUGGGAUGAUUGACAGCAGCCCAUGGUAUUCCGGCAGUCCUGAGAUUUCAUAUCAUGUAUUUCUAGUGUCCAUCCUUCAUAGUGUCCAAGUCGUGCCAUUGACCACUAUUACUGAAUGAGAAAUAUGUUUACACGCGUUGAACUGUCAAAGGCUGAAAAUAGCUCACGGCAGAAGGAGCUAGUUCAUGUCACUCUGUUUGUUGUUUCUAAAUAUUCUAAUAGAGAAGUUACCAUGUUAAGUUAUAAAGUUAAAGCAUCUACACCAGCAUGUGUGUUACUGUAUGAAUCAGAAUUGAUUGAUGUUUUCUGCAGAAUAGUGAAUUUUAGACCGUAAGGCAACUUUUCAAGGUGACUGCAGAAGUUACAUUUACUGUGCUUCCAAAAUGGCACCCUAUUCCCUACAUAGUGCACUAUUUUUGACCAAACCCCUAAGGGCCCUGGUUAAAAGUAGUGCACUGUAUAGGGAAUAGGGUGUCAUUUGUGCACUCUUAAACGUUCUUGUUUAACAUGGCAUAUAUAUUUUUUUUAAGUCAAGUUUGUAUUAUAGAGAAAGAGUGUUCUACAAAUCAAGUUUCAAUUGAGGAAAGUGACAUAAAUAUUUAUAUGUACCGUAUUGGGGUCAAGAGGUCAAGGACCAUCACGGCUGAACCUUUGAGUUUAUUAAGUGUUAAUUAAUGUGGAACUCCAUAUUUAUUGUGUUUCCUGCAUUGCUCACGGUCUGUUGCCUUUUAUGUGUUUGCUUGUGCUGCUAUUUCCCACAUCAUAAGGGACACAUCCACAUUCAUCUGGAAUAUAUGUGUCUUACAAAUGACAUAACAGCUGUUAUAAACACUUAUGACUGCAGAUGUUAUCUUUUGACGACUGACGUAACACUGUCAUGACAAACUGGAAUUGAGGUAGGAAAUCCCUCAAACCCUUCAUUAGAUUGUAGCACUGUUAUAACAGACAUAACAGGUUUUAUAUAUAUAUAAUGUCAGCUUAUGACAACUGACUUAACACUCAUGACACCAAACUGUUAUUUAGGUCAGCUAGUUACCACUAGCCAACUAGCUUAUAGAUAAUGUUAAGACUAUUCAUGUCAUUUGUUAUGUCAAUGAUAUGUAGGCCUUAUGCCAGGGCAUAGGGUUCAGGUAACGUGUUAGCUGCCAUAAUGUAUAGGCUGCGUCCCAAAUGGCACCCUAUUCUCUACAUAGUGCACUCAUUUUGACCAGAGGCCUAUGGGCACUGGUCAAAGGUAGUGCACUAUAAAGGCAAUAGGGUGCCAUUUGGGACGGGGUGCCAUUUGGGACUUUUAUAUAUGUAUCCAUACCAGACCUGUGUUCAAAUACUAUUUGGAAUCUUUCAAAUACUUUGAUCCUUUGCUUUUAGCCUGUCUGGAAUGUGAGAUGGGCGGGGUUUGCAGUUUUGCAACUAUUCUAUUGGUUCCAUUGUGCCAGGCAAACAUGAUCAAGCCCAGCUAAAGGGUUUUAAGAUACUGUAUUUCGAAUAUACUGAACAAAAAUAAGCGCAAGAAGUGUUGGUUCUAUGUUUUACGAGCUGAAAUAAAAGUUCCCAGAAAUGUUCCAUACGCACAAAAAGCUUAUUUCUCUCAAAUUUUGUUCAAAAUUUGUUUACAUCCCUGUUAGUGAGCAUUUCUCCUUUGCCAAGGUAAUCCAUCCACCUGACAGGUGUGACAUAUCAAGAAGCUGAUUAAACAGCAUGAUCAUUACACAGGUGCACCUUGUGCUGGGGACAAUAAAAGGCCACUCUAAAAUGUUCAGUUUUGCCACACAACACAAUGUCACAGAUGUCUCAAGUUUUAAGGGAGCGUGCAAUUGGCAUGCUGACUGCAGGAAUCUCCACCAGAACUGUUGUCAGAGAAUUGAAUGUUAAUUUCUCUACCGUAAGCCGCCUCUAACAUCAUUUUAGAGAAUUUGACAGUACGUCCAACCGGCCUCACUACCGCAGACCAUAUGUAACCAUGCUAGCCCAGGACCUCCACAUCCGGCUUCUUCACCUGCGGGAUGGUCUGAGACCAGCCAUCUGGACAGCUGAUGAAACUGGGUUUGCACAACCAAAGAAUUUGUGCACAAACUGUCGGAAACCGUCUCAGGGUAGAUCAUCAGUAUGCUCGUCAUCCUCACCAGGGUCUUGACCUGACUGUAGUUUGGCGUCGUAAACCACUUCAGUGGGCAAAUGCUCACCUUCGAUGGCCACUGGCACAAUGGAGAAGUGUGCUCUUCACAGAUGUAUCCUGGUUUCAACCAUACAGAUAGCAGACAGCGUGUAUGGCGUCGUGUGGGUGAGCGUUUUCUGUCAACCUUGUGAGAUAGAGUGCCCCAUGGUUGUGGUGGUGUUGUAGUAUGGGCAGGCCUAAGCUACGGACAACAAACACAAUUGCAUUUAUUGAUUGCAAUUUGAAUGCACCGAGAUACCGUGACGAGAUCCUAAGGCCCAUUGUCAUGCCAUUCAUCCACCACCAUCAUCUCAUGUUUCAGCUUGAUAAUGCACAGCCCCAUGUCACAAGGAUCUGUACACAAUUCCUGGAAGCUGAAAAUGUUCCAGUUCUUCCAUGGCCUGCAUACUCACCAGACAUCUCACCACCCAUUGAGCAUCUUUGGGAUGUGUGUUCCAGUUCCUGCUGAUAUUCAUCAACUUCCCCCAGCCAUUGAAGAGGAGUGGGACAACAUUCCUCUGGCCACAAUCAACAGCCUGAUCAACUCUUAUGUGAAGGAGAUGUGUCACGCUGCAUGAGGCAAAUGGCGGUCACACCAGAUACUGACUGGUUCUGAUCCACGCCCCUACCUUUUUUUAAAGGUAUCUGUGACCAACAGAUGCAUAUCUGUAUUCCCAGUCAUGUGAAAUCCAUAGAUUAGGGCCUAAUUUAUUUAUUUAAAUUGACUGAUUUCCUCAUAACUCAGUAAAAUCUUUGAAAUUGUGUCAUGUUGCAUUUAUUUUUUUGUUCAGUAUAGUAUUUGAACCCAGGUCUGACCCAUACUCCUCUGUGACAUCAUGUAUAUGCUGUGACAGCAAACAUGCUCUGAAAUACUCUUCAUGUCUCUGAAACAAUAAAACCUUCAUGAGUAAUGUG